RNAcentral lists this ribosomal RNA (497 nucleotides) under uncultured bacterium. Its description in RNAcentral is "partial 16S ribosomal RNA". It matches the Rfam family "Bacterial small subunit ribosomal RNA", at positions 28 to 507 of the family's 1533-position model. The record is from RNAcentral.
GAUGAACGCUGGCGGCGUGCCUAAUACAUGCAAGUCGAGCGAACAGAUGAGGAGCUUGCUCCUCUGACGUUAGCGGCGGACGGGUGAGUAAGACGUGGAUAACCUACCUAUAAGACUUGGAUAACUACGGAAAACCGGAGCUAAUACCGGAGAAUAUAAUGAACCGCAGGGUUCAAUAGUUAAAGAGGGUUUGCGUGUCACUUAGAGAUGGAGUCGCGCCGCAUUAGCUAGUUGGUAAGGUAACGGCCUACCAAGGCAACGAUGCGUAGCCGAGCUGAGAGGGUGAUCGGCCACACUGGAACUGAGACACGGUCCAGACUCCUACGGGAGGCAGCAGUAGGGAAUCUUGCGCAAUGGGCGCAAGCCUGAUGCAGCAACGCCGCGUGAGUGAUGAAGGUCUUCGGAUCGUAAAACUCUGUUAUUAGGGAAGAACAAAUGUGUAAGUAACUAUGCACGUCUUGACGGUACCUAAUCAGAAAGCCACGGCUAACUACGUG